Molecule: ribosomal RNA, 274 nt
Filed under: uncultured bacterium
Lineage: Bacteria
Description: partial 16S ribosomal RNA
Rfam family: Bacterial small subunit ribosomal RNA
Source: RNAcentral
AUACGUAGGCACCAAGCGUUGUUCGGAAUUACUGGGCGUAAAGCGAGUGUAGGCGGUUUGCCAAGUCCGUUGUGAAAUCUCCUGGCUCAACUGGGAGGGUGCGGCGGAAACUGGCAGGCUAGAGUGCGGAAGAGGAGAGUGGAAUUCCUGGUGUAGCGGUGAAAUGCGUAGAUAUCAGGAGGAACACCGGCGGUGAAGACGGCUCUCUGGACCGCAACUGACGCUGAGACUCGAAAGCGUGGGGAGCAAACAGGAUUAGAUACCCCGGUAGUCC